This 259-nucleotide ribosomal RNA is filed under the name uncultured bacterium. RNAcentral describes it as "partial 16S ribosomal RNA". It matches the Rfam family "Bacterial small subunit ribosomal RNA", at positions 793 to 1055 of the family's 1533-position model. The record is from RNAcentral.
GUCCACGCCGUAAACGAUGAAUACUAGGUGUAGGGGUAUCGACUCCCCUGUGCCGCAGUUAACACAUUAAGUAUUCCACCUGGGGAGUACGGCCGCAAGGUUGAAACUCAAAGGAAUUGACGGGGCCCGCACAAGCAGUGGAUUAUGUGGUUUAAUUCGAAGCAACGCGAAGAACCUUACCAGGGCUUGACAUACUCUGACAGCUCUAGAGAUAGAGUCUCCCUUCGGGGCAGAGAUACAGGUGGUGCAUGGUUGUCGU